CUCAGAAUUCUUCCCAGUGCAUUAUUUAAAAUUUUUUAUUUAUUAUUAUUUUUGGUUGCACUGAGUCUUUGUUGCCGCAUGUAGGCUUUCUCUAGUUGCAGUGAGCAGGGGCUUCUCUUUGUUGCAGUGCUUAGGAAGCCUAAGAGAAGCAGUAGCUUCUCUUGUUGCGGGCAACAGGCUUUAGGCAUGUGGGCUUCAGCAGUUGCAGCCUGAGGGCUCACUAGUUGCGGUGUGAGGCUCUAGGGCUUAUGGGCUUCAGUAGUUGCAGGACACAAGCUCAGCAGCUGUGGCUCGAGGGCCUUACAGCUCGGGCUUUAGUAGUUGUGGCACAUGGGCUUAGCUACCCCACAGCGUGUGGGGUCUUCCCACACCAGGGAUUGAACCCACGUCCCCUGCAUUGGCAGAUAGAUUCUUAACCAUUGGACCACCAGGGAAGUCCUGGACUGAGCCUUUCGCUGAGGGAGACACGGGCGUCCUGUCUCUCUCCCUCUGCCUCUUGCACGCUUCUAGAGCGUAUCGUGCCUCCCUAUUCGAAUCCCCAUGGAGGUGCCCCACCACCUGGAGGAAGAAGGUCGAAUGUCUCAGCUCAGCCACUGAUGUCCACCAGGAUCCUCCUCUGUGCCUUGUCCCUGCCCCUUAGGCAGGACCCACUGCCUAAGAGCACCCUGUUCCUGUUCCAGGGACACCUGCCUGAAGACCUUAUCCUACUCACUCCAGAAAUGUCCAUCCACCCUCCUCCCACGGUGCCUCUGUCCUGGGCAUUGCCCUGCACUUCAUUGCAUUGUGUUAUCUUGACCCCUGGACUCCUUUCACCCCUCCACGCCCCCUGCCAUGACAUCCCAGGUCCUGUUGAAGCUGGGGAGCUGGAAGAAGUGUGCGUGGAGGUGACAGCGGAGGAGCUGGGUGAAGGUGGAGGCAAGGAGAGACCAGUGGAGGUGGUACCUGGAGAGAUGGACCAGCACGUUUGCGAAAAAGAGUGUGAGAUUAUGAAUGCAAAAUUACUGGGAAGUAGCAAGAACAGCAGAAAGCAGCCAAGACAAGAAUAAAUGCAUUCCAUAAAUAGAUGAAUGAAAAGCUAUUACAUGGGUGUGAAAAACUUCAGGAGUUUGGAAAACAUUUCGGAAGUUCUUCAAAAACUUAAGCAUGGUAUGACUCAGGAAGCUCAAACAGGGGCUCUGUAUCAACCUAGAGGGGUGGGAUGGGGAGGGAGAUGGGAGGGAGGUUCAAAAGGGAGGGGAUCCAUGUAUACCUGUGGCUGACUCAUGUUGAGGUUUGAUGGAAAACAGCAAAAUUCUGUAAAGCAAUUAUCCUUCAAAAACAAAAAAAAAUAAAAAAUAAAAACUUAAGGACCUCCUAGGUGGUCCAGUGGUUAAGAAUCUGCCUGCCAAUGCAGGGGACACAGGCUUGAUCCCUGGUCUGGGAAGAUCCCACAUGCUGCAGAGAAACUAAGCCCAUGAGAUGCAGAACCACUGAAGCCCUCACACCCUACAGCCUGUGAUCCACAGCAACAGAGGCCACUGCAAUGAGAAACCCGUGCACCUCAGCUAGAGAGAAGCCCCCACUUGCUGCAACUGGAGAAAGCCUUGGAGCAGCAACAAAAAUCCAGGGUGACCAAAAAAAAAUUGGUGAAAACAAUCCAAAUGUUCAUAAACAGAUGAAUAGAUACACAAAAUGUGGUCCAUCCAUACAACGGAAUGUUUUUCAGUCAUAAUAAGGAAUGGGGGUAGUUCUGGGAAUUCCCUGGAGGUCCAAUGGUUAGAACUCAGUGCUUUAACUGCCAAGGAACUGGGUUCAGUCCCUGGUCAAGGAACUGCUGCUUCUGCUGCUGCUGCUAAGUCGCUUCAGUCGUGUCCGACUCUGUGCGACCCCGCAGACGGCAGCCCACCAGGCUCCUCUGUCCCUGGGAUUCUCCAGGCAAGAAUACUGGAGUGGGUUGCCAGUGGUCAGGGAACUAAGAUCCCACAAACAAACAAAUAAAUAAAAGAAGAAUAAAAAAGGGAGUGGAGUUUUGAAACCUAUUAUACCAUGAAUGAACCUUGUGACGUCGCAGAAGUCAGUUUACAAAAUAUCCCGUGUUAGUGGAUUUCAUUUAUAUGAAAUGUCCAGAACAGGUGAAUCUAUAGGGGCAGAAAGUAGAUUAGUGGUUGUCUAAGGCUGGGGAGAGGCUUCCCAGGUGGUGCUAGUGGUAAAGAACCCUCCUGCCAAUGCAGGAGACACGGGUUUGAUCCCUGGGUCAGGAAGAUGCCCUGGAGAAGGGGAUGGCAACCCACGCCAGCAUUCUUGCCUGGGAAAUCCCAUGCACAGAGGAGCCUGGCGGGCUACAGUCCAUGAGAUUGCAGAGUCAGACACGACUGCAGCGACUUAGCAUGCAAGGCUGGGGAGAAACGGGGAAAUUUGGGGUGAUGAAUACAGGAUUCAGAUUUCUUUUGGGGGUGAUGAAAACCUUCUAAAAUUGACUGUGGUAAUCGUUCACAACACUCCUAUUUUUUUUUUUUUUUUGACCACACCACAUGGCUUGUGGAAUUGUGAUUUGCCAACCAGGGAAUGAACCUGGGCCCCAGCAGUGAAAGUGAAAGCAAGGUGUCCUAACCACUGGGCCGCUGGGGAUUCCCAUCACGGUAUCUUCUAGAAACCACCACUGCUCCCCCAGCUACUCUCCCAGGUUGGUUUAGGGCCUCUGUUCAGCUGCCCUCAUUCAGCCCUGCAUCUCCCAUGAGGCAGCUUCUAUGACUCAGGGAGAUGUUGGAACAAAACAAGCAGGCUGUGAAGGACGAGAAAAGCCAGAUGUGGGGUGAGUCCUGGAGGCUGAUGGCAGCUUGGAAAAGGAGGGAAAGACUCCCCGAGAGGCAGUUCCAUCCCUUGGCCAAGAUCCCAGGGGGCCUCAG
Molecule: long non-coding RNA, 2885 nt
Organism: Capra hircus (goat)
Lineage: Eukaryota; Metazoa; Chordata; Mammalia; Artiodactyla; Bovidae
Source: Ensembl